This 595-nucleotide long non-coding RNA is filed under the name Manacus vitellinus (golden-collared manakin). Its description in RNAcentral is "lncRNA (ENSMVIG00005010596.1)". The record is from RNAcentral. Lineage: Eukaryota; Metazoa; Chordata; Aves; Passeriformes; Pipridae.
UGUAUGAUUUGCAUGGACACGCCCUCCUUCUCUACGAGGCUCCGCCCCUCUCGCUCCCAUCGCCACCUCCAGCACCAUCUUCCAGCUGGGCUUCGAGCGGGCGCUGCGGAAGCAGAACAAGGAGCAAGUGCCCCCGGCUGCGGCCCCGGAGCCGCCGCAGCGGAAGCAGCACCCGGGGAAGAGCGGGAAGAAGCCGUCGGGCAAUGCCACCAGCACCAAGGCGGGCAGGAGCCGCUCGCUGGAGGAGGCCCUGCGAGCUCUGGACCUGGCAGAUCUGCAGAAGGAGCUGGAGAAGAGCCGGAGCGUGUUCCCCGAGAACCCCUCCGUGUGGGUGAAGGACCUGGCCGGGUACCUCAACUACAAGCUGCAGGCACCCCAGAGCGACCCCGUGCUGAGCCAGCACCCCCACGACUAUCCAUACAGCCUGGCGAGCAAGGAGCUGAGGAGCAUCAUCCGGACCCUGCUGGGAAGGGCGUCGGGAGUGCUGGAGCUCUUCUUCGACCACUGCAUCUACACCAUGCUCCAGGAGCUGGACAAGGCCCCGGGGGAGUCACUGCAUGGAUACAGGAUCUGCAUCCAGGCACUGCUCCUGGAC